RNAcentral lists this small RNA (691 nucleotides) under uncultured fungus. RNAcentral's name for it is "eukaryotic LSU rRNA". The stretch from base 269 to 422 matches the Rfam family "5.8S ribosomal RNA". The record is from RNAcentral. Lineage: Eukaryota; Fungi.
UUUUUAUUUUAAAGGACCAAGGGCAUUAUCAAUAAAGCGGGGGGCCCCUCUUGGUCAUUUAGAGGAAGUAAAAGUCGUAACAAGGUCUCCGUUGGUGAACCAGCGGAGGGAUCAUUACCGAGUUUACAACUCCCAAACCCCUGUGAACAUACCUUAAUGUUGCCUCGGCGGAUCAGCCCGCGCCCCGAAAAACGGGACGGCCCGCCUUAGGACCCAAACUCUAAUGUUUCUUAUUGUAACUUCUGAGUAAAAUAAACAAAUAAAUCAAAACUUUCAACAACGGAUCUCUUGGUUCUGGCAUCGAUGAAGAACGCAGCAAAAUGCGAUAAGUAAUGUGAAUUGCAGAAUUCAGUGAAUCAUCGAAUCUUUGAACGCACAUUGCGCCCGCUGGUAUUCCGGCGGGCAUGCCUGUUCGAGCGUCAUUUCAACCCUCAAGCCCUCGGGUUUGGUGUUGGGGAUCGGCUCUGCCUUCUGGCGGUGCCGCCCCCGAAAUACAUUGGCGGUCUCGCUGCAGCCUCCAUUGCGUAGUAGCUAACACCUCGCAACUGGAACGCGGCGCGGCCAUGCCGUAAAACCCCAACUUCUGAAUGUUGACCUCGGAUCAGGUAGGAAUACCCGCUGAACUUAAGCAUAUCAAUAAGCGGAGGCACUCGCUGUCUUUUAGAAGGAAAAAAGGGGGCCCCUUGUUCGG